UAUGCGUGGAGUCGAGCGUACGGACGGGAGCUUGCUCCCUUAGGUCAGCGGCGGACGGGUGAGUAACACGUGGGUAACCUGCCUGUAAGACUGGGAUAACUCCGGGAAACCGGGGCUAAUACCGGAUGCUUGUUUGAACCGCAGGGUUCAAACAUAAAAGGUGGCUUUUCGCUACCACUUACAGAUGGACCCGCGGCGCAUUAGCUAGUUGGUGAGGUAACGGCUCACCAAGGCGACGAUGCGUAGCCGACCUGAGAGGGUGAUCGGCCACAUUGGGACUGAGACACGGCCCAAACUCCUACGGGAGGCAGCAGUAGGGAAUCUUCCGCAAUGGACGAAAGUCUGACGGAGCAACGCCGCGUGAGUGAAGAAGGCCUUCGGGUCGUAAAACUCUGUUGCCGGGGAAGAACAAGUAUCGUUCGAAUAGGGCGGUACCUUGACGGUACCUAACCAGAAAGCCACGGCUAACUACGUGCCAGCAGCCGCGGUAAUACGUAGGUGGCAAGCGUUGUCCGGAAUUAUUGGGCGUAAAGCGCGCGCAGGCGGUCUUUUAAGUCUGAUGUGAAAGCCCACGGCUCAACCGUGGAGGGUCAUUGGAAACUGGAAGACUUGAGUGCAGAAGAGGAGAGUGGAAUUCCACGUGUAGCGGUGAAAUGCGUAGAGAUGUGGAGGAACACCAGUGGCGAAGGCGACUCUCUGGUCUGUAACUGACGCUGAGGCGCGAAAGCGUGGGGAGCAAACAGGAUUAGAUACCCUGGUAGUCCACGCCGUAAACGAUGAGUGCUAGGUGUUGGGGGUUUCAAUACCCUCAGUGCCGCAGCUAACGCAAUAAGCACUCCGCCUGGGGAGU
This 850-nucleotide ribosomal RNA is filed under the name uncultured Bacillus sp. Its description in RNAcentral is "bacterial SSU rRNA". It matches the Rfam family "Bacterial small subunit ribosomal RNA", at positions 50 to 881 of the family's 1533-position model. The record is from RNAcentral. Lineage: Bacteria; Bacillati; Bacillota; Bacilli; Caryophanales; Bacillaceae.